RNAcentral lists this long non-coding RNA (820 nucleotides) under Homo sapiens (human). RNAcentral describes it as "HSALNT0234040". The record is from RNAcentral. Lineage: Eukaryota; Metazoa; Chordata; Mammalia; Primates; Hominidae.
CACCAAACAGGAAGGCAAGAGCAAGAAAUUCCAGUAACAGUAGUCACCGAACAGAAUGAAGAUUAAAUCCUACUAAAUAGAUGAAGCACCUUGCACAGACUUUGGCCAAUAGAGCCUCAUCUACUUGCUUUUCUGUAUGAAGCGGGAAAUCCACUGGAUGUUGUUUCACUGUAAGUCGGUAUUCCAUCCUGGGUUGGAGAUCAUGUGGUGCCCUCCUGCUAGAAGUCCUAUAAAAUCCAGUUUCUCCUCUGAGAUUGCUGAAGUACAAGACAAGGGAAAAAUCACUAGCAUGGUGUUGGAGUCUUUCCAAGAGCCAGAGGCGUAGACAGCAUUAUCCAAGUGAGCUGCAGAAUAACCCUACAAAGGUGCCGGCUUCCUUAUCUAAUAAAUGAGAAUAAGGAGGCUUGAAAAAGUAAGAGGAUGCUCCCAGUUUCAUGAAUCCAGUGAGCACCAUGAACAACAGAUGUCCCCUGGGCCCUGCCCACACCCUGUCCUGUAUACAUGAGCGUACACCAGCCUGUCUUUCAACUGCUGGCACCUGCAUUUCUUCUCACAAGAACAUUUUCUGGACAACAAAGCCCAUUCUGUCCAUUUCCGAGUGACAUCCUCAACCAACGCCUGGAGGGAAGCCCCCUUUGCCCCUAACAUGGGAGAACUCCAAGGGACCCUGUUCUACACAGGCUCCCGGAGUCCCCAUGAGGAGUCACCUACAGCUACCUACCAUCACCAUUCUCUUGAAACUGAUUUUUACUUUUUAAUUUACUGCCCUUGCUUCCUUGUCUUGCCUUUUCACUCUGUGACCAGUUCUUCUCAAAAUUAC